Molecule: ribosomal RNA, 253 nt
Filed under: uncultured bacterium
Lineage: Bacteria
Description: partial 16S ribosomal RNA
Rfam family: Bacterial small subunit ribosomal RNA
Source: RNAcentral
UACGUAGGGGACAAGCGUUAUCCGGAAUCAUUGGGCGUAAAGCGCGUGUAGGCGGUUCCGUAAGUCCGCUCUGAAAGCCCAGGGCUCAACCCUGGGAGGCGGGUGGAUACUACGGAACUGGAGUACGGAAGAGGAGAUUGGAAUUCCUGGUGUAGCGGUGAAAUGCGCAGAUAUCAGGAGGAACACCAACAGCGAAGGCAGAUCUCUGGGACGUUACUGACGCUGAGACGCGAAAGCGUGGGGAGCAAACAGG